CCUACGGGUGGCAGCAGUGAGGAAUAUUGGUCAAUGGUCGUAAGCCUGAACCAGCCAAGCCGCGUGCAGGAAGACGGUCCUACGUAUCGUAAACCGCUUUUAUCAGGGAACAAAAUCCGUCACGUGUCACCUUAUGAAGGUACCUCAUGAAUAAGCAUCGGCUAAGUCCGUGCCAGCAGCCGCGGUAAUACGGAGGGUCCGGGCGUUAUCCGGAUUUAUUGGGUUUAAAGGGUGCGUAGGCGGCAUGUUAAGUGUGCGGGAAAAUCCCGGGGCUCAACCCGGGCGGGCCGUGGAGACUGGGGGGCUUGAGUGGGCGAGAGGUAUGCGGAAUUCGUGGUGUAGCGGUGAAAUGCUUAGAUAUCGCGUAGAACCCCGAUUGCGAAGGCAGCGUACGGGAUCGCUACUGACGCUGAGGCACGAAAGCGUGGGUAUCGAACAGGAUUAGAUACCCUGGUAGUC
Molecule: ribosomal RNA, 459 nt
Filed under: uncultured bacterium
Lineage: Bacteria
Description: partial 16S ribosomal RNA
Rfam family: Bacterial small subunit ribosomal RNA
Source: RNAcentral